GGUUGGCUUGUGCACUGGGAGUUGGGCCUACUGGCAGCACAGGUCAGUGUCUUCCCUUCGUCAACGUUGGCGAUAUUAACGUAACAAACAAAAUCUUCAUAAAGUGCCCUAGCCCUGCACUUGGCUCCUUGAACAAUUAAUUUAACAAGCUGCGGAGCUAACUGCUUUGGCAAAGUAUUUUUGGCACUUUUAACGAAAGUCUAGUCCUGUGUCUCUUCUGACAUAUACAUUGCUCAAGAUAAAUGGUCGCACCUGACUGAAAUGCUCAUGAAGACAUCUCUGAGGAAUGAAGAAGUGCCUCUGCUGGAAAAGUCCUCAAGAAUAUAUUCAUAAUAAUCAGAUGCCUAGAUGUACUUCAUAGAACUUGCAAGACACUUCGACAUAAAUCUCCUUGAAGAGUGACAAAUUCUCAGGGAAAAAAUGAACAAAAUA
Non-coding RNA from Chelonoidis abingdonii (Abingdon island giant tortoise), 432 nucleotides. The record is from RefSeq and is a predicted model, not a curated record. NCBI's taxonomy places the organism in Eukaryota, Metazoa, Chordata, Testudines, Testudinidae.